CCAAGUGCGAAGCACCGGUCCCUGUGGUGUCACUCACUUCGGCACUCCUUUCCAUGUAGCAUUUUGUUGUUGUUUUCGCGGAAACUCUACUGUGGGUUGUCAUGCCUCUUCUCCCCGCCUCCAAAGGAAAGGACGCCGCUGCGGCACCCAAGAAAAAAGUGCACCCGCCGGAGCCCUGCGGCUGCGGUGUGGACACGUAUCGUGCACCCCCUAAAGGAAAGAAAACGCCCCCUGUUAUCGUACACCAUCCCGGCUGUGCGUACCAGCGCACCACAUGCGACGCCUAUCCUCAUCUCCCGCGGUGCACGACGUGCCAGGAGCCGUGCAAGUUUUGCCUCGGCAAGAAUCGCUGGUGCCCCCACUGCUACGAGAAGCAGUGCACGUUCCGGUACAAGCGCGUUGUCAUUGGCGUAGAGCCGCUGACCGGCGCUGAUGUGGGACCUGGCAAAGGUGAGCUGGCAUCGUCCCUCGGCCGCCGCGGCACCUCACGACGCCGCACUACGGUGCGCUUGGUGGACGAGAAGCGCAAGGCAGCCAGCAUGCAACGCAGCACCUCUGCGCAGCGACGAGGCACGAACGUUGCGGUGAGUUGAACCUCGAAAUCACUGUGAACACAUCCACUGAGUCUCUUUUUGGUGCGAGAACGCGUCUCUCAGCAACAACCAGACGGCGAGUGAGAAGGGGAGCGACUUUAUGUACAUUAGUGUUUCAGAUGCUGUCGGUGUCGUGUGCCGGCGACGCUGACCGACGGUGAUGGGAGGGGCAGGCCCACUGAUUGCUCUCGCCGUCUACCGCUUGCGCGUGUCUGUGUUGUGCACACGAGGACACGGCUGUACUGAUAUCUUGCUCGUCGCCACGACAUUUCUUUCCUUGUUCGCCCUCCCUUGCUCGUUUUGCACACUUGCCUGUUGAACUUGUUCGUCGGAUUACCUCGACGUUCUUGUCGAAACCACCACAGCCCCCAUUCACGUCCUCUGGCGCUUUCCGUCUGGUGUGGAGCGUGCGUCGGCACACUUCGGCAUGUCGUGAAGAAACGAUGCUCCCCCUUUCUCUCUCUGAUGGUGACGAUGGUCGAGCAUCGCGAGAUCGUCGCCAGCUCCAUCAAAGGUGAUGCACUCUUUUCUCCCAACGAUGCAACGACACCCACCCUGAGUGGAGGAUGCGUGUGGGGUUGGAGCGGGUCUGCGCGCCUGCAGCGCCGUCCCCCUUGACGACGAUAUCUGCGACCUUGACGAAUAUGCUGCAUCCCUGGUCCUUUUCGGUUCCUCACCUGGGAACUGGGCUUAUCCUUUUCCCUUUUCCGGCGUCUCCUUCUUUUCGCAUAUGCGCGGAUGUCCACACACACACACACACACAUAUCAG
This 1362-nucleotide unclassified non-coding RNA is filed under the name Leishmania donovani. RNAcentral's name for it is "gene:LdHU3.36.6660(CDS-product:hypothetical_prote in)". Lineage: Eukaryota; Euglenozoa; Kinetoplastea; Trypanosomatida; Trypanosomatidae. The record is from RNAcentral.